GAGACAGCAGUCGCCACGGGAAUACGUAGGGUGCGAGCGUUAAUCGGAAUUACUGGGCGUAAAGCGUGCGCAGGCGGUUCGUUAAGACAGAUGUGAAAUCCCCGGGCUUAACCUGGGAACUGCAUUUGUGACUGGCGAGCUAGAGUAUGGCAGAGGGGGGUAGAAUUCCACGUGUAGCAGUGAAAUGCGUAGAGUUGUGGAGGAAUACCGAUGGCGAAGGCAGCCCCCUGGGCCAAUACUGACGCUCAUGCACGAAAGCGUGGGGAGCAAACAGGAUUAGAUACCCCGGUAGUCCCUGUCUCUUAUAC
RNAcentral lists this ribosomal RNA (308 nucleotides) under uncultured bacterium. RNAcentral's name for it is "partial 16S ribosomal RNA". It matches the Rfam family "Bacterial small subunit ribosomal RNA", at positions 505 to 807 of the family's 1533-position model. The record is from RNAcentral.